CAUGCAGUCGAACGGGAUCCCAGGAGCUUGCUCCUGGGUGAGAGUGGCGAACGGGUGAGUAAUGCGUGACCGACCUGCCCCAUACACCGGAAUAGCUCCUGGAAACGGGUGGUAAUGCCGGAUGCUCCAGUUGACCGCAUGGUCCUCUGGGAAAGCUUUUGCGGUAUGGGAUGGGGUCGCGUCCUAUCAGCUUGAUGGCGGGGUAACGGCCCACCAUGGCUUCCACGGGUAGCCGGCCUGAGAGGGCGACCGGCCACAUUGGGACUGAAAUACGGCCCAGACUCCUACGGGAGGCAGCAGUGGGGAAUAUUGCACAAUGGGCGCAAGCCUGAUGCAGCGACGCCGCGUGCGGGAUGACGGCCUUCGGGUUGUAAACCGCUUUUGACUGGGAGCAAGCCCUUCGGGGUGAGUGUACCUUUCGAAUAAGCACCGGCUAACUACGUGCCAGCAGCCGCGGUAAUACGUAGGGUGCAAGCGUUAUCCGGAAUUAUUGGGCGUAAAGGGCUCGUARGCGGUUCGUCGCGUCCGGUGUGAAAGUCCAUCGCUUAACGGUGGAUCCGCGCCGGGUACGGGCGGGCUUGAGUGCGGUAGGGGAGACUGGAAUUCCCGGUGUAACGGUGGAAUGUGUAGAUAUCGGGAAGAACACCAAUGGCGAAGGCAGGUCUCUGGGCCGUCACUGACGCUGAGGAGCGAAAGCGUGGGGAGCGAACAGGAUUAGAUACCCUGGUAGUCCACGCCGUAAACGGUGGAUGCUGGAUGUGGGGACCAUUCCACGGUCUCCGUGUCGGAGCCAACGCGUUAAGCAUCCCGCCUGGGGAGUACGGCCGCAAGGCUAAAACUCAAAGAAAUUGACGGGGGCCCGCACAAGCGGCGGAGCAUGCGGAUUAAUUCGAUGCAACGCGAAGAACCUUACCUGGGCUUGACAUGUUCCCGACAGCCCCAGAGAUGGGGCCUCCCUUCGGGGCGGGUUCACAGGUGGUGCA
Molecule: ribosomal RNA, 983 nt
Filed under: Bifidobacterium sp. G29
Lineage: Bacteria; Bacillati; Actinomycetota; Actinomycetes; Bifidobacteriales; Bifidobacteriaceae
Description: bacterial SSU rRNA
Rfam family: Bacterial small subunit ribosomal RNA
Source: RNAcentral